CAGCCGCCGCGGUAAUACGGAGGGGGCUAGCGUUGUUCGGAAUUACUGGGCGUAAAGCGCACGUAGGCGGCUUGGUAAGUUAGAGGUGAAAGCCUGGAGCUCAACUCCAGAAUUGCCUUUAAGACUGCCGAGCUAGCAGGUGAGAGAGGUAAGUGGAAUUCCGAGUGUAGAGGUGUAAUUCGUAGAUAUUCGGAAGAACACCAGUGGCGAAGGCGGCUUACUGGCUCAUACUGGACGCUGAGGUGCGAAAGCGUGGGGAGCAAACAGGAUUAGAUACCCCAGUAGUCCCUGUCUCUUAUAC
RNAcentral lists this ribosomal RNA (301 nucleotides) under uncultured bacterium. RNAcentral describes it as "partial 16S ribosomal RNA". It matches the Rfam family "Bacterial small subunit ribosomal RNA", at positions 509 to 807 of the family's 1533-position model. The record is from RNAcentral.